RNAcentral lists this ribosomal RNA (446 nucleotides) under uncultured bacterium. RNAcentral's name for it is "partial 16S ribosomal RNA". It matches the Rfam family "Bacterial small subunit ribosomal RNA", at positions 338 to 795 of the family's 1533-position model. The record is from RNAcentral.
CCUACGGGGGGCAGCAGUCGAGAAUCAUUCACAAUGGGGGAAACCCUGAUGGUGCGACGCCGCGUGGGGGAAUGAAGUUCUUCGGAUUGUAAACUCUUGUCUUGGGGGAGCAAAUUAAAAAGAUAGUACCACAAGAGGAAGAGACGUCUAACUCUGUGCCAGCAGCCGCGGUAAUACAGAGGUCUCAAGCGUUGUUCGGAAUCACUGGGCGUAAGGGGUGCGUAGGCUGUUUCGUAAGUCGUGUGUGAAAGGCACGGGCUCAACCCGCGGACUGCACAUGAUAUUGCGAGACUAGAGUAAUGGAGGGGGAACCGGAAUUCUCGGUGUAGCAGUGAAAUGCGUAGAUAUCGAGAGGAACACUAGUGGCGAAGGCGGGUUCCUGGACAUUAACUGACGCUGAGGCACGAAGGCCAGGGGAGCGAAAGGGAUUAGAUACCCGGGUAGUC